GACGAGCCACCCAAACGUUAUUCGGAAUUACUGGGCUUAAAGGGUGCGUAGGCGGUGCAGCAAGUCGGGAGUGAAAUACCUCAGCUUAACUGAGGAACUGCUUUCGAUACUGCUGUGCUUGAGUAAGACAGAGGUAAGCGGAACUUAGGGUGGAGCGGUGAAAUGCGUUGAUAUCGUAAGGAACACCCGUGGCGAAAGCGGCUCACUGGGUCUUUUCUGACGCUGAUGCACGAAAGCUAGGGGAGCAAACGGG
RNAcentral lists this ribosomal RNA (253 nucleotides) under uncultured bacterium. RNAcentral describes it as "partial 16S ribosomal RNA". It matches the Rfam family "Bacterial small subunit ribosomal RNA", at positions 524 to 776 of the family's 1533-position model. The record is from RNAcentral.